UACGUAGGUGGCGAGCGUUGUCUGGAUUUACUGGGCGUAAAGGGAGCGUGGGCGGACUUUUAAGUGAGAUGUGAAAUACCCGGGCUCAACUUGGGUGCUGCAUUUCAAACUGGAAGUCUAGAGUGCAGGAGAGGAGAAUGGAAUUCCUAGUGUAGCGGUGAAAUGCGUAGAGAUUAGGAAGAACACCAGUGGCGAAGGCGAUUCUCUGGACUGUAACUGACGCUGAGGCUCGAAAGCGUGGGGAGCAAACAGGAUUAGAUA
RNAcentral lists this ribosomal RNA (261 nucleotides) under uncultured prokaryote. Its description in RNAcentral is "partial 16S ribosomal RNA". It matches the Rfam family "Bacterial small subunit ribosomal RNA", at positions 524 to 784 of the family's 1533-position model. The record is from RNAcentral.